Molecule: ribosomal RNA, 884 nt
Filed under: Cortinarius sp.
Lineage: Eukaryota; Fungi; Basidiomycota; Agaricomycetes; Agaricales; Cortinariaceae
Description: LSU rRNA
Rfam family: Eukaryotic large subunit ribosomal RNA
Source: RNAcentral
AGGAUUCCCUAGUAACUGCGAGUGAAGCGGGAAAAGCUCAAAUUUAAAAUCUGUCAGUCUUUGACUGUCCGAGUUGUAAUCUAGAGAAGCAUUAUCCGCGCUGGACCGUGUACAAGUCUCCUGGAAUGGAGCGUCAUAGAGGGUGAGAAUCCCGUCUUUGACACGGACUACCAGGGCUUUGUGAUGUGCUCUCAAAGAGUCGAGUUGUUUGGGAAUGCAGCUCAAAAUGGGUGGUAAAUUCCAUCUAAAGCUAAAUAUUGGCGAGAGACCGAUAGCGAACAAGUACCGUGAGGGAAAGAUGAAAAGAACUUUGGAAAGAGAGUUAAACAGUACGUGAAAUUGCUGAAAGGGAAACGCUUGAAGUCAGUCGCGUUAUCCAGGGAUCAACCUUGCUUUUGCUUGGUGUACUUUCUGGUUGACGGGUCAGCAUCAAUUUUGACCAUUGGAAAAAGACCAGGGGAAUGUGGCAUCUUCGGAUGUGUUAUAGCCCUUUGUUGCAUACAAUGGUUGAGAUUGAGGAACUCAGCACGCCGCAAGGCCGGGUUUUUUUUAACCACGUACGUGCUUAGGAUGCUGGCAUAAUGGCUUUAAUCGACCCGUCUUGAAACACGGACCAAGGAGUCUAACAUGCCUGCGAGUGUUUGGGUGGAAAACCCGAGCGCGUAAUGAAAGUAAAAGUUGAGAUCCCUGUCAUGGGGAGCAUCGACGCCCGGACCAGACCUUUUGUGACGGUUCCGCGGUUGAGCAUGUAUGUUGGGACCCGAAAGAUGGUGAACUAUGCCUGAAUAGGGUGAAGCCAGAGGAAACUCUGGUGGAGGCUCGUAGCGAUUCUGACGUGCAAAUCGAUCGUCAAAUUUGGGUAUAUGGGGCGAAAGACUAAUCGA